GACGAACGCUGGCGGCGUGCUUAACACAUGCCAGUCGAACGGAAAGGCCCUGCUUUUGUGGGGUGCUCGAGUGGCGAACGGGUGAGUAACACGUGAGUAACCUGCCCUUGACUUUGGGAUAACUUCUGGAAACUGGGGCUAAUACCGGAUAGGAGCUCCUGCUGCAUGGUGGGGGUUGGAAAGUUUCGGCGGUUGGGGAUGGACUCGCGGCUUAUCAGCUUGUUGGUGGGGUAGUGGCGUACCAAGGCUUUGACGGGUAGCCGGCCUGAGAGGGUGACCGGCCACAUUGGGACUGAGAUACGGCCCAGACUCCUACGGGAGGCAGCAGUGGGGAAUAUUGCACAAUGGGCGGAAGCCUGAUGCAGCAACGCCGCGUGCGGGAUGACGGCCUUCGGGUUGUAAACCGCUUUCGCCUGUGACGAAGCGUGAGUGACGGUAAUGGGUAAAGAAGCACCGGCUAACUACGUG
This 468-nucleotide ribosomal RNA is filed under the name uncultured bacterium. Its description in RNAcentral is "partial 16S ribosomal RNA". It matches the Rfam family "Bacterial small subunit ribosomal RNA", at positions 28 to 507 of the family's 1533-position model. The record is from RNAcentral.